CCGGGUGGACGCUACGCUCUGCGUGUUCCAAAUCUGAUCAUAAAAGGAAAGGACACCAGGCAAGCCAUCCAACUGCACAGCUACUGCCACGCUGGGGAGGCUGAGCCAGGCCUCCGUGCCCCCGAAGGAGACCCCAGGCAUUCAGACACCAGGCAAUUUUGCAUCUCAUCCUGAAGAGACAGUCCCCCGCAGGAAUCCCUGCCUCAGGAACCUGAGAGAAGCUGGAGAGAUGAAAUAGAAACAGCAGAGAAAGACGCUUCUUUCAUAUUCCCAGACCCAGAAUCUAAAUGUCUGAAGAGAUGGUGGGUGUGAGGUUUGGAAAUGGUUUGUUAUACAAUAGCGAAUCGGAACAAAUGAGAUGUUUUAAGCUACGUUUUCACCGCCAGGAAAAACUUCCUAUCUGCUCUGCUCCUGGCACCAUGCUAGGGUCUAAGCACAUGCUAAGAAGCAAAUGUCAGAGUCUCAGAGUGACACAACCUUAGGAAGCACUGGUGUCACCACAGUGUGCCAUGGCAGCAGAAGGAGGAGGCUGGUGAACUGAACCUAACUGCAGUUUGUACAGACCCACAAACAUGGGACAUGUUCACACCAAGAUCGUGAAGAAAGCGGCACGGGUGAUCAUCGAGAAGUACUACAUGCGCCUGGGUAAUGACUUCCACACCAACAAGCGCGUGUGAGAGGAGAUCGCCAUUAUCCCCAGCAAGAAGCUUUGGAACAAGAUAGCCGGCUACUUCACGCAUCUGAUGAUCGGAUUCAGAGAGGUCCUGUGAGAGGUAGCUCUUUCAAGUUGCAGGAAGAAGAGAGAGAGAGGAGAGCUGAUUACGUUCCUGAGGUCUCAGCCCUAGAUCAGGAGAUCACUGAGGUGGAUCCCGACACCAGGAGAUGCUGACGCUUCUGGACUUGGGCAGUCUCUCUAACCUGCACGUCACUCCCUCUUACACGCGUUCACGACCGGCCAGGAAGAACACAGCAAACCAGAAUCUUCUGCGGCAAAACUUUAUUGCUUACAUCUUCAGGAGCAAGAGUGCAAGAGAGAGAAUGGCGAAACCCCGUCCCUUUUUAAGGAGAAUUAUUCUCCGCCUAGGACGUAUUACUCCCUGAUUGGCUGCAGCCCAUCGGCCGAGUUGUCGUCACGGGGAAGGCAGAGCACAUGUAGUGGAAAACUACCCUUGGCACAUGCGCAGAUUAUUUGUUUACCACUUAGAACACAGGAUGUCAGCGCCAUCUUGCAACGGCGAAUGUGAGGGCGGCUCCCCACAGAUCCCCCUUUUCUUUUAAUAAGAGCAAUAGGCCACCCAUAUUAAUGAGAGUGGAGAUAGAGGUCAAAUCCCCAGUGUGCAGGUAAAGGAGCCGUACACAUAACCUCCUCCCAGGCUCAUCACCCAGAGGGGUCCUGGUCUGGUCCUGUGUCGUUUUACCUGGGGAGAAGGACACUUGGACACUCAACCUUCUUGAAAGAUGACAUGUCUCCCUAGAAUAGGCUCAUAUGUGCUGCAGAGCCCUUCUACUGCAGUGCUUAGCCGUGCAACUCUCUCGGGCUGCUGAAGCACACUCACUCUAUCCCGUGCAAUGAGACUAGCCUCGUGGGGUGCAAGAGCUGAAUGGCCAGCGACCUAUUGCUUAAGCAUAGAUAACCAUAUAUCAGGGGAAGCACCAUGUUCUAGAGCUGCAAGUGCCUGGGCAAUAACCACCUUGUCUCUCCUAGUUUGGGCCUUAAGCUUACAGACCAACCAGAGAAGCAACACUAAUCCACAGCAAAGUGUAUCUCCAAAUAAUCCCACCCAUACCCAUUCUUUAAAGAAGGAAAAUGCUGAGGAGAUCCAAUUGGGUAAUCCUUUGAUCAGGGACAGGUCCAAGCGCGUGGAGUUGACCUGAAGUCUCAAUUCCCGAAGGGUCUGUUCAAAUUCAGCCGUCCAAUUCUGUAACAUAUACUGAGAAAGACUUUUUGACAAAUUAGCUGCCCUAGUAAAUUUCUCAUACUGAAUGGAAGUAACGGACAAUCCCGGAAACUUUUGUUCACAUCCCAGCUGAGCUAUUUGCCAUAAUGCAUCUAGUUGUUUCUGGACAAGAUCUAUGAGUUGAUUAACCAGCAUGAGACCUUCCUGUAUCUUGACAUUAGCUGAGGCCUGUUUAUCUAUGACUGUGGUCACCGAGGCUGACAAUGUGUUAAUGGUGUCAGUCGUCUGGACCUGUCCAGACAGAGCCAAGACUGUCUGAAUCAAGGCCAAACCCAGUUCCUUGUUACUGGUAAAAAAGCAGGGGAAUACUUGAGCAUUAUAUAUCACCGGCAUUGGGAGUGGAAAUGUCGACAUUAUCUCCCAACGCUGCUCUCUCUUUGUUAUUGUCGCCCUGGACAUCACCAAGACGAGGGACAUUAGUAUUCCCUUGGUCAGUCUGGAUUUUUCGGGUGAGUCUUUCUGGUAUCCAAAAUGGGUUGUCUUCAUUCUGUGGAAAAACACAAACAGCUCCCCUGGAUCUUAUCAAAAUAGGAUCCGGGCCAUACCAUUUAUUAUCAAGGACAUUUUUCCAUUUAACCAUCUCAUUGGGCCUAUCUGGCUCUGAACAAUGACGUUCAGCCGCAGUAUGGCCAUGAGCAUCAAGAUUUAAAAAAUUGAGUGUAAAGAGUGCCAUAGACACAGACACUCUUGGUACUCGGGGUAGAGCCUCCUCGAUUCCCCUCUUCUGUUUUAAUAGAUAGGAUUUGAGGGUGCGAUGCACACGCUCAACAAUACCCUGUCCUUGAGGGUUGUAUGGAAGUCCAGUCAGGUGGGUCACGUCCAUCUGACGGCAGAACUGCUGGAAUUUUUGAGAUGUAUAAGCUGGUCCAUUAUCAGUCUUAAGGAGUUUGGGUUUCCCCCAAGCACUCCAUGCCUCAAGGCAAUGUUGAAUCACAUGUGAGGCUUUUUCUCCGGUUAACGGAGAAGCAAACAUGAUGCCAGAGCAGGUGUCAAUAGAGACAUGUAAAUAUUGAUUUCUCCCAAAGGAGGAAAUAUGCGUGACAUCCAUUUGCCAGACCUGUAAUGGCCUGAUGCCACAGGGGUUUACCCCUACAUGAGGAGUAGAUAAAAUUUGACAACAAUCUAAAGGCAUUAUUAAGUAAUCAGAAUCACUUCCAGUAGCACCAAUCCCUCUGGCGGCUCGAGGAAUACCAGAGGAAGGAAAACAGCCAUGUAGGCUUGGCAAAAUUAUUAGUUGAGCUAUUCUGUCCCCUUGUGAUAUAGAAAAGACAACUUGAGGACAAGAACAGAGAACCUGAAGUUCCCCUUUAUAAUCCUCAUCUACAACUCCAGGGUGGACAAUAAGACCUUGUAGGCUGCAAGAGCCUGCCUCCGUCAUUCUGGCCACAAAAUCUGAGAAGGACUCCUGAGGUCCCUGGACGAUCUUUGUUAGUUGUCCAGUGGCCUCACCUGCUCGGGAGAGCGCCUUCCAGGCCCUAAUAGCCUUUUCAUCUGAUUCAGAACUACUAAGAACUGGCUCCUUGAGCUCAUCUAGUGAUGAGUAUAGGCUCCUUCUCCUAGAGACCUCCGCUAAUUGAUCUUUUUUCUUUUCUUUUUUCUUUUCCUUCCUUCUAAUCUCUCCCCAGGUAUUCUUACCUGACCUAAACUUUUCCUCGGGUUCAAGACCCGUGGAAAGGCCUGUAUACUUAUUUUGUGUACCAUAUCUCCUCUUUGCUCCUACUCUCUCUCCCCGCUUUACUUCUGAUAGAUUGCCCUGAAUUUCAUCCAGAAUUUUCAGCCCUGCCUUAACCGCUUGAUAACAUGUGAAAAGGAACAAAAAGGCUCCUAACACUAGAAAAAGUUCAAGGCCAAACAUACCUUGUAAAGCUAUUUCCCACUUUACUUCUGAUAGACUGUCUUGAAUUUCGUUAGAAAGUUCAAGACCAGACUUACCUUGUAAAGCUAUUUCCCACUUUACUUCUGAUAGACUGUCUUGAAUUUCGUUAGAAAGUUCAAGGCCAGACUUACCUUGUAAAGCUAUACUUACGGGUACCCUGUUCCCCAGCUGAAGAGUUCUGAAUUCACGCAGUUGAAUCCUUCUCAACAGUCUGUUUUACGGGAACACUUCAUUACCAUGACCCGCAGUUCUGGUUCCGGAAUGAGGGAUCUUCCUUGCGCCGGUGAUGGUAACCGUCCCAGGUUUUCUCGUCUCGGGAUUUCUCGUCCCAGGUCUUCUCGUCCCGGGUCUCAGCACCAACUCUUACACGCGUUCACGACCGGCCAGGAAGAACACAGCAAACCAGAAUCUUCUGCGGCAAAACUUUAUUGCUUACAUCUUCAGGAGCAAGAGUGCAAGAGAGAGAAUGGCGAAACCCCGUCCCUUUUUAAGGAGAAUUAUUCUCCGCCUAGGACGUAUUACUCCCUGAUUGGCUGCAGCCCAUCGGCCGAGUUGUCGUCACGGGGAAGGCAGAGCACAUGUAGUGGAAAACUACCCUUGGCACAUGCGCAGAUUAUUUGUUUACCACUUAGAACACAGGAUGUCAGCGCCAUCUUGUAACGGCGAAUGUGAGGGCGGCUCCCCACAACUCCCAGCCUACGGUUGGCAUGAAUUUCAAAACACCAUGUGGAGCUGUUUAAUCUGUUAUGCCAUAUUUUCAAUAAACCUGAAAAAAAAAAGA
Long non-coding RNA from Mus musculus (house mouse), 4615 nucleotides. RefSeq lists it as uncharacterized. Lineage: Eukaryota; Metazoa; Chordata; Mammalia; Rodentia; Muridae. The record is from RefSeq and is marked validated. The transcript is spliced from 3 exons.